GCUAGGAUGAACGCUAGCGGCAGGCUUAACACAUGCAAGUCGAGGGGCAGCGGGAUGUAGCAAUACAUUGCCGGCGACCGGCGGAUGGGUGCGUAACGCGUAUGCAACCUACCUUAUACAGGGGAAUAACCUUUCGAAAGGGAGACUAACACCCCAUAGUAUUGAUUUAAGGCAUCUUAGAUUAAUUAAAUAUUUAUAGGUAUAAGAUGGGCAUGCGUAUGAUUAGCUAGUUGGUAAGGUAACGGCUUACCAAGGCGACGAUCAUUAGGGGUUCUGAGAGGAAGGUCCCCCACACUGGUACUGAGACACGGACCAGACUCCUACGGGAGGCAGCAGUGAGGAAUAUUGGUCAAUGGGCGCAAGCCUGAACCAGCCAUGCCGCGUGCCAGGAAGACGGCCUUAUGGGUUGUAAACUGCUUUUACAUAAGACUAACCGUAUAUUUGCGAAUAUACCUGAAUGUAUUAUGAGAAUAAGGAUCGGCUAACUCCGUGCCAGCAGCCGC
RNAcentral lists this ribosomal RNA (503 nucleotides) under uncultured bacterium. RNAcentral's name for it is "bacterial SSU rRNA". It matches the Rfam family "Bacterial small subunit ribosomal RNA", at positions 26 to 518 of the family's 1533-position model. The record is from RNAcentral.